AGCUUUGCGCAGUGGCGGUGUCGUAGCCAGUGAAGGGUAAACUGAGGCGCGACUAUUGCUAGUUGAAAACGUUUCCCAAUACCUCGCCGUGACGACGUGAAAUACCGUCGGCUAUGGCAAUUUUUGGCAGCCUCUACGGAGG
This is a small nuclear RNA of Ornithodoros turicata, 142 nucleotides long. RefSeq annotates it as U4 spliceosomal RNA. NCBI's taxonomy places the organism in Eukaryota, Metazoa, Arthropoda, Arachnida, Ixodida, Argasidae. The transcript has a single exon. The record is from RefSeq and is a predicted model, not a curated record.